CAGUCGAACGAAGCAUGCAGGAAGAAGCCCUUCGGGGCGGGCGCCUGGAUGACUGAGUGGCGGACGGGUGAGUAACGCGUGGGCAACCUGCCCCAUACAGGGGGAUAACAGCCGGAAACGGCUGCUAAUACCGCAUAAACCAGGGAGGCGCAUGCCUUUCUGGGGAAAGUUCCGGCGGUAUGGGAGGGGCCCGCGUCUGAUUGGCUUGUUGGCGGGGCAGCGGCCCACCAAGGCGACGAUCAGUAGCCGGCCUGAGAGGGCGGACGGCCACAUUGGGACUGAGACACGGCCCAAACUCCUACGGGAGGCAGCAGUGGGGGAUAUUGCACAAUGGGGGAAACCCUGAUGCAGCGACGCCGCGUGGGCGAAGAAGUAUUUCGGUAUGUAAAGCCCUAUCAGCAGGGAAGAAGAAAUGACGGUACCUGAGUAAGAAGCACCGGCUAAAUACGUGCCAGCAGCCGCGGUAAUACGUAUGGUGCAAGCGUUAUCCGGAUUUACUGGGUGUAAAGGGAGCGCAGGCGGCACGGCAAGCCUGAUGUGAAAGCCCGCGGCCCAACCGCGGGACCGCAUUGGGAACUACCGGGCUGGAGUGCCGGAGAGGUAGGCGGAAUUCCUAGUGUAGCGGUGAAAUGCGUAGAUAUUAGGAGGAACACCUGUGGCGAAGGCGGCCUACUGGACGGUGACUGACGCUGAGGCUCGAAAGCGUGGGGAGCAAACAGGAUUAGAUACCCUGGUAGUCCACGCC
RNAcentral lists this ribosomal RNA (745 nucleotides) under uncultured bacterium. RNAcentral's name for it is "bacterial SSU rRNA". It matches the Rfam family "Bacterial small subunit ribosomal RNA", at positions 40 to 801 of the family's 1533-position model. The record is from RNAcentral.